Caenorhabditis elegans is the source of this 21-nucleotide non-coding RNA. NCBI's taxonomy places the organism in Eukaryota, Metazoa, Nematoda, Chromadorea, Rhabditida, Rhabditidae. The record is from Ensembl.
UAAUUGGUAUUAAUUAUCAGG